GGAUUCACAAAACGAACAGAUCCAGAU
This 27-nucleotide non-coding RNA is filed under the name Rattus norvegicus (Norway rat). The record is from RNAcentral. Lineage: Eukaryota; Metazoa; Chordata; Mammalia; Rodentia; Muridae.